This 492-nucleotide ribosomal RNA is filed under the name uncultured Glomus. Its description in RNAcentral is "SSU rRNA". It matches the Rfam family "Eukaryotic small subunit ribosomal RNA", at positions 601 to 1094 of the family's 1831-position model. The record is from RNAcentral. Lineage: Eukaryota; Fungi; Glomeromycota; Glomeromycetes; Glomerales; Glomeraceae.
AUAUUAAAGUUGUUGCAGUUAAAAAGCUCGUAGUUGAAUUUCGGGAUCAAUAUGUCGGUCGUGCCUUCGGUACGUACUGGCAUCAUUGGUUUCUCCCUUCUGACAAACCAUGAUGUCAUUAAUUUGGUGUUAUGGGGAGUUAGGACUGUUACUUUGAAAAAAUUAGAGUGUUUAAAGCAGGCAUUAGCUUGAAUACAUUAGCAUGGAAUAAUGAAAUAGGACGUUUGACCCUAUUUUGUUGGUUUCUAGGAUCGACGUAAUGAUUAAUAGGGAUAGUUGGGGGCAUUAGUAUUCAAUUGUCAGAGGUGAAAUUCUUGGAUUUAUUGAAGACUAACUACUGCGAAAGCAUUUGCCAAGGAUGUUUUCAUUAAUCAAGAACGAAAGUUAGGGGAUCGAAGACGAUCAGAUACCGUCGUAGUCUUAACCAUAAACUAUGCCGACUAGGGAUCGGAUGAUGUUAAUUUUUUAAUGACUCAUUCGGCGCCUUACGGG